UACGGAUUAAAGCCGAGGCGGUACAAGAUGGGUGUGCGUAUGAUUAGCUAGUUGGUGAGGUAACGGCUCACCAAGGCGAUGAUCAUUAGGGGGCGUGAGAGCGUGGNCCCCCACACGGGUACUGAGACACGGACCCGACUCCUACGGGAGGCAGCAGUAAGGAAUAUUGGUCAAUGGAGGCAACUCUGAACCAGCCAUCCCGCGUGCAGGAUGACGGCCCUAUGGGUUGUAAACUGCUUUUAUAUGGGAAGAAAAGAUGCAUUUAUGCGUAACUGACGGUACCAUAAGAAUAAGCACCGGCUAACUCCGUGCCAGCAGCCGCGGUAAUACGGAGGGUGCAAGCGUUAUCCGGAAUUACUGGGUUUAAAGGGUGCGUAGGCGGCUUUAUAAGUCAGAGGUGAAAGGCAGUCGCUCAACGAUUGAAUUGCCUUUGAUACUGUAGAGCUUGAAUUAGGUUGAGGUAGGCGGAAUGUGGCCAUGUAGCGGUGAAAUGCGCAGAUAUGCCAUAGAACACCAAUUGCGAAGGCAGCUUGCUGGAGCUAAAUUGACGCUGAGGCCACGAAAGCGUGGGGAGCGA
This 577-nucleotide ribosomal RNA is filed under the name uncultured organism. RNAcentral describes it as "bacterial SSU rRNA". It matches the Rfam family "Bacterial small subunit ribosomal RNA", at positions 195 to 771 of the family's 1533-position model. The record is from RNAcentral.